CUGGAUGGCUCAGUUUUGGGAUUAUGUCAACGCCUUCAGCAGAUGCUAUUGCCUUACAUAAAGAGAUAUGCCAUGCUGGAGAGCUUCCACUCACUCUGAAUGUGUGCAUUUUGGCCACAAGCAACAACUGCACAUCCAGUCCUAUCACUGACAUGGCAACCAAGAAUUCUGGGAGCCUUCCCAAAGCUGUUUUGCAUCACUCAUCAAAAGGUCUGCCAUCCCAGCGGAGGCACAUUGUGUGACGGCAGAGAGGAACAGGGUGGAGCAGCUAUUUUUACCUGAAGCCCAGGAGUGAGCUCAACACAGAAGAGGUACCCUUGUGAUGGACUGGCGACCGAUCCAGAUGUCAUCUUGCUCCGGUUCGAGUUGUGGUAGCCUCCUACCUCCACUGCAGUCAACUACAGGAUAAAGCAGUCCUGCCUAGGCUGAGCUGGCCUCAGCUUACCUGUCUCCUGGAAUGCACGCCACCGCCUUGGGCCAGCCGGAUCAUCUCGCUAUCCUCUGCACCUGCCUACACCGGUUACUGACGUCAAUCCAGCUGCAACGCCACAUUUGCCCCGCCACACUCCGUCCAUAUUGCCUUAGCUCCUCUCCCUGCCCAGUUGCCAGGCCAGUCUUCAUCACAGCCCCUCUCACAGCCCACUCAUCCAUAGGCCCCAUCCAUCACCAUCACACAGAAAGAAGAGAGAUGAGGGAGGGGAGACGCUGAGCGAAGACGAGAGAAGAAGAAAAAGAGAUGCACAUAAAGGCGAAAAGUCACAUGUUGGCAUCAGAUGGAAAGACAGAGUGGAGAUCUUCACAGAGGGGAAAGAAAGAAUAUAGGAGGAGGAUAAAGAGUGGAUGUACAUUUGGCAAGACAUAACUCAAAAUUCCGAGAAUACUGAUUAGAAUCAUGAUGUAUUAAACUAGUCAUCUCGGCGUGUUGCAUCAGAUUCAAAGACUAUAAAACCGAGAAAUGGUUUAAGGUCAUAAAAAUCACUUCCAGAUAUUGAAGAUUUUGACUUCUCUGUCUCGCUUUGUCUCCUUGUUUGUGCUCAAGGCUGUGACCUUUUGACAGGACGCUCUCUCUUUUGUCGAACACGCCACAGGCAAAGACUGGCAAAAAAAAACCCAGCCCCAACACAGAGAGUGAUAAAGAUGUGAUACACACCGGCAGACACUUUCUGCAAGACGUACGAUUAUUUUAAAGUACUUCUACCUUGAGAGACAAAAAUGCAACAAAGUCGGUCGAUGGACUAAAAAAAAAAAAAAAAAAAAAAAAAGGAUGUCUGGGGAAAAAAGAGCAAGUUGGUUGAAGGGGAAUCAAAGUCAGGCAACGGGUCCCAGUACCAUCCUCUAGCUAUGCCUGGAGGCCUAAAUGUCUAGCUGACAAUGUCUAUAUCAGUCAGUCAGAAAAAUAAUGGGCUUUAGAAAUCGACCCUUGUGCCUUGAAACCUCAAUCAGCAGAGAUGGACUUCAUAGAAUCUGACAAAAUUCAUCAGUAAUGGAGUCAGUGUUGAUUUUAUAUUAUUUUUUAAAAUAUGAGCAAAGUAUGUGCUGCAUGUUGUCGUGUUUUUUUUUUGUGGAACCAGAAUAUUUCAGGUUGAGUUAUGACUUAAAUCUUCAUGCCAUAAAAAUACAUCAAUAAUGCAAAGUUGUUUUGAUGAUAUGAUGAAUUACAGCGCAAUCAUUAUGAUUAUUAAAAACGCCAUAUGCCUUUUCGUCCGUGG
This is a long non-coding RNA of Amphiprion ocellaris (clown anemonefish), 1709 nucleotides long. NCBI's taxonomy places the organism in Eukaryota, Metazoa, Chordata, Actinopteri, Pomacentridae. The record is from Ensembl.